UUUCCGUAGGUGAACCUGCGGAAGGAUCAUUAUUGAAUAAACCUGAUGUGACUGUUAGCUGGCUUUUCGAAGCAUGUGCUCGUCCGUCAUCUUUAAUCUCUCCACCUGUGCACAUUUUGUAGUCUUGGAUACCUCUCGAGGCAACUCGGAUUUUAGGAUCGCCGUGCUGUACAAGUCGGCUUUCCUUUCAUUUCCAAGACUAUGUUUUUAUAUACACCAAAGUAUGUUUAAAAAAUGUCAUCAAUAGGAACUUGUUUCCUAUAAAAUUAUACAACUUUCAGCAACGGAUCUCUUGGCUCUC
RNAcentral lists this unclassified non-coding RNA (301 nucleotides) under plant metagenome. Its description in RNAcentral is "partial contains small subunit ribosomal RNA, internal transcribed spacer 1, and 5.8S ribosomal RNA". The record is from RNAcentral.